UGUUAAAAUUUUUAUCAAUUUUUACCGUUAAAAAUUGGCUUAACUAAUAGAAUAGUCAAGCAACUAUGUGCUACAUGUAUCUCAUUUUGGUAUAUAGGGACCAAUUUUUAACAAAAAGAUUAAUUUACUUAUGAUCU
Molecule: microRNA precursor, 137 nt
Filed under: Gossypium hirsutum (cotton)
Lineage: Eukaryota; Viridiplantae; Streptophyta; Magnoliopsida; Malvales; Malvaceae
Description: MIR7502 microRNA precursor family
Rfam family: MIR7502 microRNA precursor family
Source: Rfam by way of RNAcentral